AUGGCUAUUGGUAUCAAUCGUGUGCAUUUUUUCAUUGCAUUGCUAUGCAUUGCAUGUGUUUUGAUUCCAGGAGAAGCAGCUGCUCAAUGGAUUUAUUGCAUUGGCCAAGGUCCAUGUCCAAAUAAAGAUCAAGAUUGUAACAAUUAUUGUUUAACAAAUAAGUUUCCAAAAGGUGGAAAGUGUAUUGCAAAACAAUGUUGUUGUGAUGGAUAA
Molecule: non-coding RNA, 213 nt
Organism: Vicia faba (fava bean)
Lineage: Eukaryota; Viridiplantae; Streptophyta; Magnoliopsida; Fabales; Fabaceae
Source: the annotation of a GenBank genome assembly